AUGGGGAGAACUGCCUGGCGAGGAGUGGUGGGGGUCACAGCAGACAACGUACAUACAGCGCAACAAAUUCAAGCUUCCGUCCUCCACUCGUCUUGGGGCCAAUUGGAUAAACUUGGCAUCAGGAGAAUAUGGUGUAGAAACGCCCCCCCCCGGGAGGUCUUGGGGCCCCGGGGACCUGUGGCCAUGCCCCCUUUCCUGGGGGGGUGUCUGUGCCCGAGGAGGCACUCAGAGGGCAGCAAUGGGGCCACAAUGCAGAGCCAGCAGCGUCCCGGUGAGGUCAGAGGCAUGGAAUUGGUCAAAUGGGAUCACCCCGAGGAUUCUGUGCUCACAGCCAGUGACUCAUGCCACGAACAGCCGCACUGGCAGAGACUGCCAACCUGGGACGGCCGAGGCCACCAGCUUACCUCACCCCACAGCACACCUUUUAAGGACAGGGAGCUCGGGGCAGCGCAGAGGCCCCGCCUCUGGCCCCAGGGCCCUUUGGCAGCCCUUCACUGGCGAGGCCAGACCCCCCACCUGGGUUUAAAUCUGGCAUCAUCACUUUUGAGACAUGACCUUGGGGCGUCUCUGGAAGACACUCAACGUCCGCAUCAGCGUCUCUUCGGUCAGGCGAGCCGCCACCGCCUGCUGUGCUGGCCAGCUGUCGGCCUAAGAUCGCACGUAUGUUUUGUACCACGAGGAAGAGGUGCAGGGACGGCCAGCCUGCCUGGCCUCGGACCCCCGCCCAGCCGCCUGUGCUCCGUGAUCUUGCGCGAGGUCCUCAACCUCUGAGAGGGUCUCACGUAUAAAAGGGAAGGAUGGUGAGGAUGCUGACCUUGUGUGGCUGCUGUGGGGUCGGGUGCCUCGAGAGGCCUGGCACCCACUUAGUGCCCUCUGAGAGCUGGCUGCUGUUGCCCAUCCUCCCAGAGCUCUCGGCCUCCCUCUAAUGCCAGCUGCUGGUUCAUCUCCCCUCCGUAUGCCUGUGACGGGUCCUGGGUCAGAGGUCUUUCAGGGGCUGCUCUGAGGCAGCCCCACUCCCCACAGCAGCCUUCCCGAGGCGGUGCUGGGGUGGACCCCUCAAAGACCCAGGUAUGACACAGACACUUUUUUUUUUUUUUAAUAUUUUUUGUAUAUUUAUUUAUGAUAGUCACACACAGAGAGAGAGAGAGAGAGAGGCAGAGACACAGGCAGAGGGAGAAGCAGGCUCCAUGCACCGGGAGCCCGAUGUGGGAUUCAAUCCCAGGUCUCCAGGAUCGCGCCCUGGGCCAAAGGGAGGCGCCAAACCACUGCGCCACCCAGGGAUCCCGACA
RNAcentral lists this long non-coding RNA (1289 nucleotides) under Canis lupus familiaris (dog). RNAcentral's name for it is "lncRNA (ENSCAFG00040004068.1)". The record is from RNAcentral. Lineage: Eukaryota; Metazoa; Chordata; Mammalia; Carnivora; Canidae.